AGAGUUUGAUCCUGGCUCAGGAUAAACGCUGGCGGCGCACAUAAGACAUGCAAGUCGAACGAACUUAACCAUUAGUUUACUAUUGGAGCGGUUAGUGGCGGACUGGUGAGUAACACGUAAGCAACCUGCCUAUCAGAGGGGAACAACAGUUAGAAAUGACUGCUAAUACCGCAUAUGCCUUAGAAUCACAUGGUUCGAAAGGGAAAGGAGUCAAUUCCGGCUGAUAGAUGGGCUUGCGU
RNAcentral lists this ribosomal RNA (239 nucleotides) under uncultured bacterium. Its description in RNAcentral is "partial 16S ribosomal RNA". It matches the Rfam family "Bacterial small subunit ribosomal RNA", at positions 8 to 236 of the family's 1533-position model. The record is from RNAcentral.